GAUGAACGCUGGCGGCGUGCCUAAUACAUGCAAGUCGAGCGGACAGACGGGGAUCUUUCUGCUCUGACGGUCGCGGCGGACAGGAAAGUAACGCGUAGAUAACCUACCUAUAAGGAUGAGAUAACUUCAGGAAACCUGAGCUAAUACCGGAAAAUAUAUUGAACGGCGUGGUUCAAUAGUUAAAGACGCUUUUGCUGGCGCUUAUAUAUCGAUCCGCGCCGCAUUAGCUAGUUGGUAAGGUAACGGGUGACCAAGACACCGAUGCGUAGCCGAGCGGAGAGGGUGAUCGGCCAGACGGGAAGCGAGACAGGGACCAGACUCCGACGGGAAGUCGCAGGAGGGAAUCUUGCGCGAUGGGCGCAGGCCUGACGGAGCAACGCAGGGUGAGUGAUGAAGUGCUGCGGGUCGCAAAACUCUGUGAAUAGGGAAGAACAAAGGUGGAAGUAACCAUGGACGUCACGAACGGACCUAGUCAGAAAGCGACGGCUAACUCCGUG
This 497-nucleotide ribosomal RNA is filed under the name uncultured bacterium. Its description in RNAcentral is "partial 16S ribosomal RNA". It matches the Rfam family "Bacterial small subunit ribosomal RNA", at positions 28 to 507 of the family's 1533-position model. The record is from RNAcentral.